GAGCGAGCGAGCGGAGCACGUAAAAGUGGGCCUUGCAGGCAUGUCCACCUGGCCUGAUUCUGGCUGGAGCUGACCCAGACAAAAGUGGGGUCUGAAUGCUGACCGCGCAAGAGUGGGCUAGGGACUCGGGGCCCUGCUGAGAAGUUGCAUUGUCCCGGGCCCUUCUUUCACAACAGGGGAAAAGAGGAUGGUGUCUCCUCUCUCUCCGUUGCUUCUGCUCCCAGUCACCUGCACUCUGGACAAUGAUAAAACAUUUGCUUCUCCCAGAGAUGCUGAGUUUGCUACUUUCUGACUCGAGUUUUGAAGAGAUGCUACAAGAAAGGUCAACUUUGGUUCACCACCAUGAGAAAUAGGUGCUGGAGAAGCAGAAUGAUUCUGUGAAUUCAACUGAGCCACUGUGUAUGGUGUCGUGGAAGUCACAGAAAUGCUGUUCAGAGCAGCUGGAGCUGUGACCUGUGCUAACAGAGUCGGGAGAAUCCAAGCGGCCUAAGAGACCCAGGAAAGAGGGGCUAGAUCACGGCGUAUCCUGAUAGUGAGAAAAUUUUACUCAAAUAUUACCAUUUGCAAAAGUCUUGGGAAAAAUAUUUUUUUCUCAUUAUCACUUUUUGUCUUUUAUAUAUUUUUUCUACACACAAGGUAGUAUGUGGCGUGGUGUGGCAUGGCAUGGUCCUCCAAGAAAAACAGUUGCCAUCGUCACCAGAAGCAGCUGUGAGUGCGCAUGAGUGACCCUCAUGUGAGAUCUCUGCUGCAUGAAAUGAUGUACAAGGUCUCAUGGCUUGCAGUGGAGCUGGACAGUGGAGGAAUAAGGGACAGGAGCUCACCUAUCCAGUCAUGGGGAGGUUGCUAUCCAUGUUGGGAUGAGAUCUUUCAGUGCUCUAGAAUUACCAUGCAGUCUCCUGUAAGUAACCCCUUGUCCAUACUCUGUAAGGAAGUUCAGCAAACCCAUUGGUUCCCCAAGGUAAACUUCGGUUGACCCAGACUUUGGAUGGAUGGAGGUGCCUGCCUGGGGAAGCAAGUGUCCAUCCACUUCUCAGGAAAAAGUUGACACAAAACAUGAGUUUGGGGGAGAGUCUUUAUUUUGUCAGUACAACCAACAAUUUAGACUAGCUCUAAUAAUCUUCAAAGAGGUCUCAACAAAUACUUAUGGAGUGAUGAAAUUAACUUAGAAGUGAAUUCUGUAGGUAUGAAAUUGGGAGAUUGUGAAACGUGAUAAGAAGUUAUGAAUGUUUUUUUCUUCAUCUCCUAAUUUAAAGAUAAUAUUGUAACACGCCAAGUAUUGAAAACCUAGUUGGAAGCCUAUGGUGGGGACAUCAGGAAUCCUAGGGGAGUAAUGUCUGCUGUUGUCUGGCUGAAUACAUAUGUUAUGUUCACCAAAAUGUCCAGUAAGCACUUUUCUUAAUGUUCAUACCCAUAUAUUAAUGCUACUCUCACUUUUGGUUAGAGAACCUUCUCUUUUCAGAUAGUAG
This is a long non-coding RNA of Jaculus jaculus (lesser Egyptian jerboa), 1466 nucleotides long. RefSeq lists it as uncharacterized. NCBI's taxonomy places the organism in Eukaryota, Metazoa, Chordata, Mammalia, Rodentia, Dipodidae. The record is from RefSeq and is a predicted model, not a curated record. The transcript is spliced from 3 exons.